Molecule: transfer RNA, 85 nt
Filed under: Capronia coronata CBS 617.96
Lineage: Eukaryota; Fungi; Ascomycota; Eurotiomycetes; Chaetothyriales; Herpotrichiellaceae
Rfam family: tRNA
About the family: Transfer RNA (tRNA) molecules are approximately 80 nucleotides in length. Their secondary structure includes four short double-helical elements and three loops (D, anti-codon, and T loops).
Source: Rfam by way of RNAcentral
GCCCGUUUGGCUUAGGGGUAAAGCGUCUCACUCGUAUGCUUAUUUCGUUAUGAGAAGAUCGGAGGUUCGAAUCCUCCAACGGGCA